CCUACGGGAGGCAGCAGUGGGGAAUUUUCCGCAAUGGGCGAAAGCCUGACGGAGCAAUACCGCGUGAGGGAGGAAGGCUCUUGGGUUGUAAACCUCUUUUUUCAGGGAAGAUAAUGACGGUACCUGAGGAAUAAGCAUCGGCUAACUCCGUGCCAGCAGCCGCGGUAAUACGGAGGAUGCAAGCGUUAUCCGGAAUGAUUGGGCGUAAAGCGUCCGCAGGUGGUUUUAAAAGUCUGUUGUUAAAGCGUGAGGCUUAACCUCAUAAGGGCAAUGGAAACUGUAAGACUAGAGUACGUUCGGGGCAAGGGGAAUUCCCAGUGUAGCGGUGAAAUGCGUAGAGAUUGGGAAGAACACCGGUGGCGAAAGCGCCUUGCUAGGCCGUAACUGACACUGAGGGACGAAAGCUAGGGGAGCGAAUGGGAUUAGAUACCCCAGUAGUCCUAGCCGUAAACGAUGGAUACUAGGCGUUGUCUGUAUCGACCCGGACAGUGCCGUAGCUAACGCGUUAAGUAUCCCGCCUGGGGAUACGCACGCAAGUGUGAAACUCAAAGGAAUUGACGGCUGNGANGCAGCGCACGAGGAGAG
This 585-nucleotide ribosomal RNA is filed under the name uncultured bacterium. Its description in RNAcentral is "bacterial SSU rRNA". It matches the Rfam family "Bacterial small subunit ribosomal RNA", at positions 338 to 945 of the family's 1533-position model. The record is from RNAcentral.